AUCCAUCUAACGAGUCUCAAAUAGCACGAAAUGCGCAUCCUGGAU
Molecule: non-coding RNA, 45 nt
Filed under: Trichobilharzia regenti
Lineage: Eukaryota; Metazoa; Platyhelminthes; Trematoda; Strigeidida; Schistosomatidae
Source: RNAcentral